GCCCGUGUGGAACAAUCGGACCGCGCACUGGACUCACAAUCCAGAGGUCGCCGGUUCGAAUCCCGCGGUGGGCG
This 74-nucleotide transfer RNA is filed under the name Culex quinquefasciatus (southern house mosquito). It matches the Rfam family "tRNA". From Rfam's summary of the family: Transfer RNA (tRNA) molecules are approximately 80 nucleotides in length. The record is from Rfam by way of RNAcentral. Lineage: Eukaryota; Metazoa; Arthropoda; Insecta; Diptera; Culicidae.